RNAcentral lists this long non-coding RNA (840 nucleotides) under Ananas comosus (pineapple). Its description in RNAcentral is "long non-coding RNA (ACOM_LNC014905)". The record is from RNAcentral. Lineage: Eukaryota; Viridiplantae; Streptophyta; Magnoliopsida; Poales; Bromeliaceae.
UACUUUAUUCUUUUUAUUUUGUUUUGAAUGAGGAUUCUCGUUUUACGAGAAAGGUACAUGUAAUUAUAGCUUAGCAGUUGUCAUUUCCAAAAAGUUUUAUACUUAAUGGCUUAGCAGUUGUAUUUUUCUAGGUAUUUAAAGCAUAUAAUUUUUAUGCAUUUUGAAAGAGGGGUAGUUUGGUCAUCCUUCUGAAAAUUCGGGCCAAAUCUGCAAAAACCAAAAAGACGGCCUACUUUUGCAAAAGCUGAAAAUUAAUAGAUUUUUUAUGCAAAUUGGCCUUCUUGCUAUAAAAUCUCUUACAAAUAUAGAUAUAUAAUAGUAGUUGUCUCCUUAAUUUUAUAGAAGUUAAUUAAAAACAUAUAAACACAUCAACUAGCUAUAGAUUUUUUUAUAUAUAAAUAACUCUACAAAUUUUUAUAAUUAUAAAUAAUCUCUUUCAAAGAUUAAUUGUAAAAGUACGUCUCUAGCAUGCCAUGUAAGAUGGGGGUCAGAAAAUGUUGAAAGCAGUGAAUGAUUUGCUGCAUAUGAAAGCGGCAAGUCAUUAACUACUUUUAUGAAAAUUCCAUAUAUUGUGGCGUAUUUAAAAACAAAAAAUAUAGUAAAAUGUUGACCGUUUUAAAAUGCGGUAAAUAGAUCACCGCUUUAAAAUGCAGUAAAUGGUUCACCACUUUUAUUCGCUAUGGAUGAUUCACUGUUUUUCUAAGUGGUGAACGAUUCACUGUAAUCCAUUGUUGAUCCUACAGCCCUCCCGCUGGAUCUCUUCUCCCUCUUUCGCUCUUUCUAUCUCACUCAUUCUCUCCAUCUCACUCCUUUCACACAGUGUGCCACUGUGUCAAUCUU